CGAGCCGCGGCGGGAGAGCCCCCGCCGACGAGCGGGGCGCCGUAGGAGCAACCCUCCCCGGGAAUCUCUCAGGCACCCGUACCGCCGCGGCGAG
RNAcentral lists this non-coding RNA (94 nucleotides) under Cellulomonas sp. RNAcentral describes it as "Glycine sequence". It matches the Rfam family "Glycine riboswitch aptamer". Rfam says of the family: This family represents the bacterial glycine riboswitch. Glycine riboswitches usually consist of two metabolite-binding aptamers domains with similar structures in tandem. The aptamers cooperatively bind glycine to regulate the expression of downstream genes. The record is from RNAcentral. Lineage: Bacteria; Bacillati; Actinomycetota; Actinomycetes; Micrococcales; Cellulomonadaceae.